This 942-nucleotide long non-coding RNA is filed under the name Mytilus galloprovincialis (Mediterranean mussel). Lineage: Eukaryota; Metazoa; Mollusca; Bivalvia; Mytilida; Mytilidae. The record is from RNAcentral.
GAUUUUUAUACGACCGCAAAAUUUGAAAAAAUUUUUCGUCGUAUAUUGCUAUCACGUUGGCGUCGUCGUCUGCGUCGUCGUCCGAAUACUUUUAGUUUUCGCACUCUAACUUUAGUAAAAGUGAAUGGAAAUCUAUGAAAUUUUAACACAAGGUUUAUGACCACAAAAGGAAGGUUGGUAUUGAUUUUGGGAGUUUUGGUCCCAACAUUUUAGGAAUUAGGGGCCAAAAAGGGCCCAAAUAAGCAUUUUCUUGGUUUUCGCACUAUAACUUUAGUUUAAGUUAAUAGAAAUCUAUAAAAUUUUGACACAAGGUAUAUGACCACAAAAGAACAGUUGGGAUUGAUUUUGGGAAUUUUGGUUUCAACAGUUUAGGAAUUAGGGGCCAAAAAAGGGCCCAAAUAAGCAUUAUUCUUGGUUUUCGCACAAUAACUUUAGUUUAAGUAAAUAGAAAUCAAUGAAAUUUAAACAAUGACUACAAAAGGAAGGUUGGUAUUGAUUUUGGGAGUUUAGGUCCCAACAGUUUAGGAAUUAGGGGCCAAAAAGGGACCCAAAUAAGCAUUUUUCUUGGUUUUCGCACCAUAACGUUAGUAUAAGUAAAUAGAAAUCUAUGAAAUUUAAACACAAGGUUUAUGACCAUAAAAGGAAGGUUGGUAUUGAUUUUGGGAGUUUUGGUCCCAACAGAAUAAGGGGCCCAAAGGGUCCAAAAUUAAACUUUGUUUGAUUUCAUCAAAAUUGAAUAAUUGGGGUUCUUUGAUAUGCCAAAUCUAACUGUCAUGACUGUGUAUGUAGAUUCUUAACUUUUGGUCCCGUUUUCAAAUUGAUCUACAUUAAGGUCCAAAGGGUCCAAAAUAAAACUUAGUUUGAUUUUGACAAAAAAUGAAUCAGUUAGGGUUCUUUGAUAUGCUGAAUCUAAAAAUGUACUUAGAUUCUUGAUUAUUGGCC